Molecule: ribosomal RNA, 460 nt
Filed under: uncultured bacterium
Lineage: Bacteria
Description: partial 16S ribosomal RNA
Rfam family: Bacterial small subunit ribosomal RNA
Source: RNAcentral
CCUACGGGAGGCAGCAGUGAGGAAUAUUGGUCAAUGGCCGGAAGGCUGAACCAGCCAUGCCGCGUGAAGGUCAGUGCCCUUUGGGCGUUUAACUUCUUUUGUGCGGGAGCAAUCAUGGUCAAGUGUGGCCAGACGAGAGUACCGUACGAAUAAGCAUCGGCUAACUCCGGGCCAGCAGCCGCGGGAAUACGGGGGAUGCAAGCGUUUUCCCGAUUUUUUGGGGUUAAAGGGGGCGUAGGCUGUGAGGUAAGUCGGCGGUGAAAAGCCCCGGCUCAACGGGGUGAAGUGCCAUUGAUACUGCCUUGCUGGAAUGCGGAUGCCGUAGGAGGAAUGUGUGGUGUAGCGGUGAAAUGCAUAGAUAUCACGCAGAACACCGAUUGCGAAGGCAUCUUACGAAUCCGCGAUUGACGCUGAUGCACGAAAGCGUGGGUAUCAAACAGGAUUAGAUACCCGUGUAGUC